CCUACGGGAGGCAGCAGUAGGGAAUAUUGGUCAAUGGGUGAGAGCCUGAACCAGCCAUGCCGCGUGCAGGAAGACGGCCUUCUGGGUUGUAAACUGCUUUUGCCAGGGGCUAAAAGGCCCAUGCGUGGGAAAUUGAAAGUACCUGGUGAAUAAGCCACGGCUAACUACGUGCCAGCAGCCGCGGUAAUACGUAGGUGGCAAGCGUUGUCCGGAUUUAUUGGGUUUAAAGGGUGCGUAGGCGGCUCUGUAAGUCAGUGCUGAAAUAUCCCGGCUUAACUGGGAGGGUGGCAUUGAUACUGUGGAGCUAGAGUACAGAUGAGGUAGGCGGAAUUGACGGUGUAGCGGUGAAAUGCUUAGAUAUCGUCAAGAACACCUAUAGCGAAGGCAGCUUACUAGGCUGUAACUGACGCUGAGGCACGAAAGUGUGGGGAUCAAACAGG
Molecule: ribosomal RNA, 440 nt
Filed under: uncultured bacterium
Lineage: Bacteria
Description: bacterial SSU rRNA
Rfam family: Bacterial small subunit ribosomal RNA
Source: RNAcentral